ACUCCUGCGGGAGGCAGCAGUGGGGAAUAUUGGACAAUGGGCGCAAGCCUGAUCCAGCCAUGCCGCGUGAGUGAUGAAGGCCCUAGGGUUGUAAAGCUCUUUCACCGGUGAAGAUAAUGACGGUAACCGGAGAAGAAGCCCCGGCUCACUUCGUGCCAGCAGCCGCGGUAAUACGAAGGGGGCUAGCGUUGUUCGGAUUUACUGGGCGUAAAGCGCACGUAGGCGGACUAUUAAGUCAGGGGUGAAAUCCCGGGGCUCAACCCCGGAACUGCCUUUGAUACUGGUAGUCUUGAGUUCGAGAGAGGUGAGUGGAAUUCCGAGUGGAGAGGUGAAAUUCGUAGAUAUUCGGAGGAACACCAGUGGCGAAGGCGGCUCACUGGCUCGAUACUGACGCUGAGGUGCGAAAGCGUGGGGAGCAAACAGGAUUAGAAACCCUUGUAGUCCC
This 445-nucleotide ribosomal RNA is filed under the name uncultured organism. RNAcentral's name for it is "partial 16S ribosomal RNA". It matches the Rfam family "Bacterial small subunit ribosomal RNA", at positions 335 to 797 of the family's 1533-position model. The record is from RNAcentral.